GGAUUGUGGCUCAGUGUUAGAGCGUGCACCUAGCAUGUGCGGGGCCCUGGGUUCAAUCCUCAGCACCA
This 68-nucleotide transfer RNA is filed under the name Marmota monax (woodchuck). RNAcentral's name for it is "tRNA.Ala". The stretch from base 5 to 65 matches the Rfam family "tRNA", at positions 6 to 65 of the family's 71-position model. From Rfam's summary of the family: Transfer RNA (tRNA) molecules are approximately 80 nucleotides in length. Their secondary structure includes four short double-helical elements and three loops (D, anti-codon, and T loops). Further hydrogen bonds mediate the characteristic L-shaped molecular structure. tRNAs have two regions of fundamental functional importance: the anti-codon, which is responsible for specific mRNA codon recognition, and the 3' end, to which the tRNAs corresponding amino acid is attached (by aminoacyl-tRNA synthetases). tRNAs cope with the degeneracy of the genetic code in two manners: having more than one tRNA (with a specific anti-codon) for a particular amino acid; and 'wobble' base-pairing, i.e. permitting non-standard base-pairing at the 3rd anti-codon position. Lineage: Eukaryota; Metazoa; Chordata; Mammalia; Rodentia; Sciuridae. The record is from RNAcentral.